Molecule: ribosomal RNA, 393 nt
Filed under: uncultured bacterium
Lineage: Bacteria
Description: partial 16S ribosomal RNA
Rfam family: Bacterial small subunit ribosomal RNA
Source: RNAcentral
AUACGGAAGGUCCGGGCGUUAUCCGGAUUUAUUGGGUUUAAAGGGAGCGCAGGCGGAGAUGCAAGCGUGACGUCAAAUUUCGGGGCUCAACCCCGUCUCGCGUCGCGAACUGCGUCCCUUGGUUGCGGGAAGGGGAGGCGGAACUCGUGGUGUAGCGGUGAAAUGCAUAGAUAUCACGAAGAACUCCGAUCGCGAAGGCAGCCUUCCGGCCCGUCAACGACGCUCAUGCUCGAAGGUGCGGGUAUCAAACAGGAUUAGAUACCCUGGUAGUCCGCACAGUAAACGAUGGACACCCGCGGUUUGGCCUAUAUAGCUGAGCCGCCAAGCGAAAGCGUUAAGUGUCCCACCUGGGGAGUACGCCGGCAACGGUGAAACUCAAAGGAAUUGACGGGG